UCAUCCAUACUUUAUUCUAUCUUGCAAGACAAGGACACUGACUUUCAUUAUGGAGUGAGUAGGGUUGAGAGAUUCAAGGCCUUUGUUGCUUCUCUGAGAAAUGAUACAGAAUAUUGUCAGGUGUACGACCUGGCUGUUGAGAAAGUGGGACCACCAGUAACCAGGAUUUCCAUUCACAAAGACAUACUGUCAGAGAAAGAAGACGCCAACACAUUGCAUGAUGAGGUAGUAAAGAAGUUCAUUGAAAAACCACGAAGACUUGCUUUCUUAUACAAAUAGGUAUUCAUAUAUGGCUGAUAGCAAGCUGAUGAUGUCUUACGUCCAUGGCAUGUGAGAAUUUUUCCGGGAACUUUUUAAUGCAGGCAAUGAUGAUUGUCAUUUCAGCACGACAAUGAACGGCAUCACAACUUUUGAUAGUUGUUGAUGACAAAUCUGAGCCUUUUU
Long non-coding RNA from Xenia sp. Carnegie-2017, 444 nucleotides. RefSeq lists it as uncharacterized. The record is from RefSeq and is a predicted model, not a curated record. NCBI's taxonomy places the organism in Eukaryota, Metazoa, Cnidaria, Anthozoa, Malacalcyonacea, Xeniidae. The transcript has 2 exons.